UUCUUAGUACAUGUACAUACAAACUUCAUUUUUUCAACAAAAAAACAAAUUUUAGUGUAUUGAAG
This 65-nucleotide small RNA is filed under the name Arabidopsis thaliana (thale cress). RNAcentral's name for it is "ATSL151240". Lineage: Eukaryota; Viridiplantae; Streptophyta; Magnoliopsida; Brassicales; Brassicaceae. The record is from RNAcentral.